RNAcentral lists this non-coding RNA (1624 nucleotides) under Saccharomyces cerevisiae (brewer's yeast). RNAcentral describes it as "small subunit ribosomal RNA". It matches the Rfam family "Bacterial small subunit ribosomal RNA". Lineage: Eukaryota; Fungi; Ascomycota; Saccharomycetes; Saccharomycetales; Saccharomycetaceae. The record is from RNAcentral.
AUUUAUAAGAAUAUGAUGUUGGUUCAGAUUAAGCGCUAAAUAAGGACAUGACACAUGCGAAUCAUACGUUUAUUAUUGAUAAGAUAAUAAAUAUGUGGUGUAAACGUGAGUAAUUUUAUUAGGGAAUUAAUGAACUAUAGAAUAAGCUAAAUACUUAAUAUAUUAUUAUAUAAAAAUAAUUUAUAUAAUAAAAAGGAUAUAUAUAUAAUAUAUAUUUAUCUAUAGUCAAGCCAAUAAUGGUUUAGGUAGUAGGUUUAUUAAGAGUUAAACCUAGCCAACGAUCCAUAAUCGAUAAUGAAAGUUAGAACGAUCACGUUGACUCUGAAAUAUAGUCAAUAUCUAUAAGAUACAGCAGUGAGGAAUAUUGGACAAUGAUCGAAAGAUUGAUCCAGUUACUUAUUAGGAUGAUAUAUAAAAAUAUUUUUAUUUUAUUUAUAAAUAUUAAAUAUUUAUAAUAAUAAUAAUAAUAUAUAUAUAUAAAUUGAUUAAAAAUAAAAUCCAUAAAUAAUUAAAAUAAUGAUAUUAAUUACCAUAUAUAUUUUUAUAUGGAUAUAUAUAUUAAUAAUAAUAUUAAUUUAUUAUUAUUAAUAAUAUAUUUUAAUAGUCCUGACUAAUAUUUGUGCCAGCAGUCGCGGUAACACAAAGAGGGCGAGCGUUAAUCAUAAUGGUUUAAAGGAUCCGUAGAAUGAAUUAUAUAUUAUAAUUUAGAGUUAAUAAAAUUAAUUAAAGAAUUAUAAUAGUAAAGAUGAAAUAAUAAUAAUAAUUAUAAGACUAAUAUAUGUGAAAAUAUUAAUUAAAUAUUAACUGACAUUGAGGGAUUAAAACUAGAGUAGCGAAACGGAUUCGAUACCCGUGUAGUUCUAGUAGUAAACUAUGAAUACAAUUAUUUAUAAUAUAUAUUAUAUAUAAAUAAUAAAUGAAAAUGAAAGUAUUCCACCUGAAGAGUACGUUAGCAAUAAUGAAACUCAAAACAAUAGACGGUUACAGACUUAAGCAGUGGAGCAUGUUAUUUAAUUCGAUAAUCCACGACUAACCUUACCAUAUUUUGAAUAUUAUAAUAAUUAUUAUAAUUAUUAUAUUACAGGCGUUACAUUGUUGUCUUUAGUUCGUGCUGCAAAGUUUUAGAUUAAGUUCAUAAACGAACAAAACUCCAUAUAUAUAAUUUUAAUUAUAUAUAAUUUUAUAUUAUUUAUUAAUAUAAAGAAAGGAAUUAAGACAAAUCAUAAUGAUCCUUAUAAUAUGGGUAAUAGACGUGCUAUAAUAAAAUGAUAAUAAAAUUAUAUAAAAUAUAUUUAAUUAUAUUUAAUUAAUAAUAUAAAACAUUUUAAUUUUUAAUAUAUUUUUUUAUUAUAUAUUAAUAUGAAUUAUAAUCUGAAAUUCGAUUAUAUGAAAAAAGAAUUGCUAGUAAUACGUAAAUUAGUAUGUUACGGUGAAUAUUCUAACUGUUUCGCACUAAUCACUCAUCACGCGUUGAAACAUAUUAUUAUCUUAUUAUUUAUAUAAUAUUUUUUAAUAAAUAUUAAUAAUUAUUAAUUUAUAUUUAUUUAUAUCAGAAAUAAUAUGAAUUAAUGCGAAGUUGAAAUACAGUUACCGUAGGGGAACCUGCGGUGGGCUUAUAAAUAUC